GGAAUUGUAGCGUAUAGGUGCAACUGUUCAACGGCUUUACAUACUCCAAGUUCCCUUGACUGAGGCUAUUGUCCAAAGAAGGUGCUAGACCUGUAGGAGUAGUGAAACCGCUUGAUACUGGUUGUUCCAUUGAGUCGAGUUGUUUGAAAUUGCAGCUCAAAGUAGGUGGUAAACCUCAUCUAAGGCUAAAUAUGACCAUGAGACCGAUAGCGAACAAGUACCGUGAGGGAAAGUUGCAAAGAACUUUGAAGAGAGAGUUCAAGAGGGCGUGAAACCGCUUAGAUGGAAGCGGAUAGAGUUAACAAAACACAACAGCAAUCAUCCGGUUUCAGAUGUUGAAUAUUUUGGCUGUUAACACUUACCUACUUUUCUGUUGCACUUGUGUAGCAGAGGUGGUUUGUGUUUCAGUUGAUGUGUACAAUGUUUGACCGGUGCUCUUGCUGUUGUUAUGCAUUGAGGGGCUUGCAGAGGUACGAAAGAUUGGAUCAAAGAGGCCUACAUUUUAUGAAUGUAGAAACCUUUGACUGAUUUUUUUUUUCGCUAUCCUUUGUAAGUUGUGCAAUUUUACUACGCCUGCUGAUAGCGUAAUUCAACUACAUUGUGGUAGAUGUAGAAUGAUUAAGAUUUGUCGCUUGUCGGCUUGUCUUAUCUUCCAUGUUUGCUUCUAUUGUUGGUUGUCAAUUACUGUAGGCGUUGGCUCCACAGUGUAUAAAAAAAGUUAAUCACCUAUCCGACCCGUCUUGAAACACGGACCAAGGAGUUUAGCAUAUAUGCAAGUCAUUGGGUGUUGAAAACCUAAAGGCGUAAUGAAAAUAAGUAUAUGGGAUCUGUAUGCAGUGCAAAUUGUAUACAGCGCACCAUAGUCCUGUUAAUAUUGCAUGCAAUUUAGCGGAGAUAGAGCAUAUAUGGUGAGACCCGAAAGAUGGUGAACUAUGCUUGAGC
This 942-nucleotide ribosomal RNA is filed under the name Spauligodon auziensis. RNAcentral's name for it is "eukaryotic LSU rRNA". It matches the Rfam family "Eukaryotic large subunit ribosomal RNA", at positions 139 to 842 of the family's 3401-position model. The record is from RNAcentral. Lineage: Eukaryota; Metazoa; Nematoda; Chromadorea; Rhabditida; Pharyngodonidae.